UACGGGGGGGGCAAGCGUUGUUCGGAUUUACUGGGCGUAAAGGGCGCGUAGGCGGCUUAACAAGUCACUUGUGAAAUCUCCGGGCUUAACUCGGAACGGCCAAGUGAAACUGUCAAGCUAGAGUGCAGAAGGGGCAAUCGGAAUUCUUGGUGUAGCGGUGAAAUGCGUAGAUAUCAAGAGGAACACCUGAGGUGAAGACGGGUUGCUGGGCUGACACGUGACGCUGAGGCGCGAAAGCCAGGGGAGCAAACGGG
Molecule: ribosomal RNA, 254 nt
Filed under: uncultured bacterium
Lineage: Bacteria
Description: partial 16S ribosomal RNA
Rfam family: Bacterial small subunit ribosomal RNA
Source: RNAcentral